AGAGUUUGAUCCUGGCUCAGAGCGAACGCUGGCGGCAGGCCUAACACAUGCAAGUCGAGCGCCGUAGCAAUACGGAGCGGCAGACGGGAGAGUAACACGUGGGAACGUACCCUUCAGUUCGGAACAACCCAGGGAAACUUGGGCUAAUACCGGAUACGUCCGUAAGGAGAAAGAUUUAUCGCUGAAGGAUCGGCCCGCGUCUGAUUAGCUAGUUGGUGAGGUAACGGCCCACCAAGGCUACGAUCAGUAGCUGGUCUGAGAGGAUGAUCAGCCUCACUGGGACUGAGACACGGCCCAGACUCCUACGGGAGGCAGCAGUGGGGAAUAUUGGACAAUGGGCGCAAGCCUGAUCCAGCCAUGCCGCGUGGGUGAUGAAGGCCCUAGGGUUGUAAAGCCUUUUCGGCGGGGAAGAUAAUGACGGUACCCGCAGAAGAAGCCCCGGCUAACUUCGUGCCAGCAGCCGCGGUAAUACGAAGGGGGCUAGCGUUGCUCGGAAUCACUGGGCGUAAAGCGCACGUAGGCGGCUUUUUAAGUCAGGGGUGAAAUCCUGGAGCUCAACUCCAGAACUGCCUUUGAUACUGAGGAGCUUGAGUCCGGGAGAGGUGAGUGGAACUGCGAGUGUAGAGGUGAAAUUCGUAGAUAUUCGCAAGAACACCAGUGGCGAAGGCGGCUCACUGGCCCGGUACUGACGCUGAGGUGCGAAAGCGUGGGGAGCAAACAGGAUUAGAUACCCCCGUAGUCC
RNAcentral lists this ribosomal RNA (742 nucleotides) under uncultured bacterium. RNAcentral describes it as "bacterial SSU rRNA". It matches the Rfam family "Bacterial small subunit ribosomal RNA", at positions 8 to 796 of the family's 1533-position model. The record is from RNAcentral.